RNAcentral lists this ribosomal RNA (485 nucleotides) under uncultured bacterium. Its description in RNAcentral is "partial 16S ribosomal RNA". It matches the Rfam family "Bacterial small subunit ribosomal RNA", at positions 30 to 506 of the family's 1533-position model. The record is from RNAcentral.
AUUGAACGCUGGCGGCAUGCCUUACACAUGCAAGUCGAACGGCAGCACGGGUGCUUGCACCUGGUGGCGAGUGGCGAACGGGUGAGUAAUACAUCGGAACAUGUCCUGUAGUGGGGGAUAGCCCGGCGAAAGCCGGAUUAAUACCGCAUACGAUCUACGGAUGAAAGCGGGGGACCUUCGGGCCUCGCGCUAUAGGGUUGGCCGAUGGCUGAUUAGCUAGUUGGUGGGGUAAAGGCCUACCAAGGCGACGAUCAGUAGCUGGUCUGAGAGGACGACCAGCCACACUGGGACUGAGACACGGCCCAGACUCCUACGGGAGGCAGCAGUGGGGAAUUUUGGACAAUGGGCGAAAGCCUGAUCCAGCAAUGCCGCGUGUGUGAAGAAGGCCUUCGGGUUGUAAAGCACUUUUGUCCGGAAAGAAAUCUUUGGCCCUAAUACGGUCGGGGGAUGACGGUACCGGAAGAAUAAGCACCGGCGAACUACGU